AUAGAGAUAUAAAAGAUGCAAGUUUGGGUGUCUAGAGAGAAAAAUGUGAAGAAGAAGAGGGUCUUCUUCUUGGGUUUUUGUUUUCAUAUCUUUCCUCCCUCCAUCUUGAGUUUCCUGAGAGUGUCUCAGAUCUGAAACUCCUUCUUUUACUUUUCAUCUUUGGAAGAGUCCAAAUCAAGAAGAAGGAGGCACCUGAUCAACCAUCAAAGAAGGAUCAGCGCAGUACUAGCAUACUGUGCUGAUUUCCUGAAGCAGGACUUCUGAUCG
This 267-nucleotide long non-coding RNA is filed under the name Elaeis guineensis (African oil palm). RNAcentral describes it as "long non-coding RNA (EGUI_LNC059540)". Lineage: Eukaryota; Viridiplantae; Streptophyta; Magnoliopsida; Arecales; Arecaceae. The record is from RNAcentral.